RNAcentral lists this ribosomal RNA (497 nucleotides) under uncultured bacterium. RNAcentral describes it as "partial 16S ribosomal RNA". It matches the Rfam family "Bacterial small subunit ribosomal RNA", at positions 28 to 507 of the family's 1533-position model. The record is from RNAcentral.
GAUGAACGCUGGCGGCGUGCCUAAUACAUGCAAGUCCAGCGAACAGACGAGGAGCUUGCUCCUUCGACGUUAGCGGCGGACGGGUGAGUAACACGUAGGUAACCUACCUAUAAGACUGGGAUAACUUCGGGAAACCGGAGCUAAUACCGGAUAAUAUUUCGAACCGCAUGGUUCGAUAGUGAAAGAUGGCUUUGCUAUCACUUAUAGAUGGACCUGCGCCGUAUUAGCUAGUUGGUAAGGUAACGGCUUACCAAGGCAACGAUACGUAGCCGACCUGAGAGGGUGAUCGGCCACACUGGAACUGAGGCACGGUCCAGACUCCUACGGGAGGCAGCAGUAGGGAAUCUUCCGCAAUGGGCGAAAGCCUGACGGAGCAACGCCGCGUGAGUGAUGAAGGUCUUCGGAUCGUAAAACUCUGUUAUUAGGGAAGAACAAACGUGUAAGUAACUGUGCACGUCUUGACGGUACCUAAUCAGAAAGCCACGGCUAACUACGUG